RNAcentral lists this ribosomal RNA (301 nucleotides) under uncultured bacterium. RNAcentral describes it as "partial 16S ribosomal RNA". It matches the Rfam family "Bacterial small subunit ribosomal RNA", at positions 509 to 807 of the family's 1533-position model. The record is from RNAcentral.
CAGUCGCCGCGGUAAUGCGUAGGUGGCAAGCGUUGUCCGGAAUUAUUGGGCGUAAAGGGCUCGCAGGCGGUUUCUUAAGUCUGAUGUGAAAGCCCCCGGCUCAACCGGGGAGGGUCAUUGGAAACUGGGAAACUUGAGUGCAGAAGAGGAGAGUGGAAUUCCACGUGUAGCGGUGAAAUGCGUAGAGAUGUGGAGGAACACCAGUGGCGAAGGCGACUCUCUGGUCUGUAACUGACGCUGAGGAGCGAAAGCGUGGGGAGCGAACAGGAUUAGAUACCCGAGUAGUCCCUGUCUCUUAUAC